CCUACGGGAGGCAGCAGUGGGGAAUUUUGCGCAAUGGACGAGAGUCUGACGCAGCAACGCCGCGUGGGUGAUGAAGGUCUUCGGACUGUAAAACCCUGUCGUCAGGGACGAAGGUGCUCGUGUUAAUAGCGCGAGUGCUUGACGGUACCUGGAGAGGAAGCCCCGGCUAACUCUGUGCCAGCAGCCGCGGUAAUA
This 195-nucleotide ribosomal RNA is filed under the name uncultured bacterium. Its description in RNAcentral is "partial 16S rRNA". It matches the Rfam family "Bacterial small subunit ribosomal RNA", at positions 338 to 525 of the family's 1533-position model. The record is from RNAcentral.